This 433-nucleotide ribosomal RNA is filed under the name uncultured bacterium. RNAcentral's name for it is "partial 16S ribosomal RNA". It matches the Rfam family "Bacterial small subunit ribosomal RNA", at positions 29 to 507 of the family's 1533-position model. The record is from RNAcentral.
AACGAACGCUGGCGGCAUGCCUAACACAUGCAAGUCGAACGAGACCUUCGGGUCUAGUGGCGCACGGGUGCGUAACGCGUGGGAACCUGCCCUUAGGUUCGGAAUAACUCCCCGAAAGGGGUGCUAAUACCGGAUAAUGUCUUCGGACCAAAGAUUUAUCGCCUUUGGAUGGGCCCGCGUUGGAUUAGCUAGUUGGUAGUGUAAAAGCCUACCAAGGCGACGAUCCAUAGCUGGUCUGAGAGGAUGAUCAGCCACCCUGGGACUGAGACGCGGCCGAGACUCCUGCGGGAGGCAGCAGUGGGGAAUAUUGGACAACGGGCGCAAGCCUGAUCCAGCAAUGCCGCGUGAGUGAUGAAGGCGUUAGGGUUGUAAAGCUCUUUUACACGGGAUGAUAAUGACAGUACCGGGAGAAUAAGCUCCGGCUAACUCCGUG